This 396-nucleotide ribosomal RNA is filed under the name uncultured archaeon. RNAcentral's name for it is "bacterial SSU rRNA". It matches the Rfam family "Archaeal small subunit ribosomal RNA", at positions 471 to 867 of the family's 1478-position model. The record is from RNAcentral.
UAAUACCAGCACCCCGAGUGGUCGGGACGAUUAUUGGGCCUAAAGCAUCCGUAGCCGGUUGUGCAAGUCCUCCGUUAAAUCCAGCCGCUCAACGGAUGGGCUGCGGAGGAUACUACAGGACUAGGAGGCGGGAGAGGCAAGCGGUACUCAGUGGGUAGGGGUAAAAUCCUUUGAUCCAUUGAAGACCACCAGUGGCGAAGGCGGCUUGCCAGAACGCGCUCGACGGUGAGGGAUGAAAGCUGGGGGAGCAAACCGGAUUAGAUACCCGGGUAGUCCCAGCUGUAAACGAUGCAGACUCGGUGAUGGGCUAGCUUCGUGUCAGCCCAGUGCCGCAGGGAAGCCGUUAAGUCUGCCGCCUGGGGAGUACGGUCGCAAGACUGAAACUCAAAUGAAUUG